This is a ribosomal RNA of 840 nucleotides. The stretch from base 351 to 503 matches the Rfam family "Archaeal large subunit ribosomal RNA", at positions 1886 to 2087 of the family's 2987-position model.
UCACGAAAUGGUUGGAGCUAAUUAUAUAUAAUUAAUAGAUUAUACUCCGUGUGUAGCAUAAUAUGGUAUAAAAAUAUAAUUAGGUGUGAUAGGCUUAUCAAAGACCAGAAUAUCUUGAUAGCGCUUAAACGUAUUAAGUACGGAAAACAAAUAUAAAGUGUUUAGGCUUUAUAUAACUUUAAAAUAGAUUUCGGGAUGANAUGGUUUAAUCGUCUUUAAAUUUAUCACACUAAUAUUAAUUUUCCUCUAAUUAAUAAGAUGUACGUGCUUCUAUUAUAAUAAAGGUGUGUAGUAAUAAUGUUACUAUAAGUAUUAAUUAAGGCGUUUAUAAUGAACUCGGCAACAAAUAUUCUCGACUGUUUAUCAAAAACAUAGCUGUAUGUAAUUAAUAUAUAGUUAUUUCUGCUCAAUGUAAUAUAAAUGGCCGCGGUACUCUGACUGUGCAAAGGUAGCAUAAUCANUUGGCUUAUAAUUGAAGUCUAGUAUGAAUGAAAAUAUGGGGAUAGACUGUAUAAUAAACGUUCAUUUGAAAUUACUUAAUAAGUGAAAAGACUUAUAUUUAAAUAAUAGACGAGAAGACCCUAGAAAUUUUAAGGAAUUAUAACAUAUAUAGGUUUUUGUUGGGGCGACACGGUAGCAGNACAACCUACUAAGGUGAAUAUGAUUAUUGUAUUAGGAAUAAUUAAAUUACUCUAGGGAUAACAGCAUAAUAUUUUAAAGUUUGUGACCUCGAUGUUGGACUAGGAUACUACAACCCAGAAGGUUAAUAGUNAGGCUCUGUUCGAGCGAAUUAUUCCUACAUGAUCUGAGUUCAGACCGGCGUAAGCCAGGUCAGUUUCU